This 627-nucleotide ribosomal RNA is filed under the name uncultured archaeon. RNAcentral describes it as "bacterial SSU rRNA". It matches the Rfam family "Bacterial small subunit ribosomal RNA", at positions 396 to 1015 of the family's 1533-position model. The record is from RNAcentral.
GCCGCGUGUGUGAAGAAGGCCUUAUGGUUGUAAAGCACUUUAAGGCGAGGAGGAGGCUAUCUAGUUAAUACCUAGGGAUAGUGGACGUUAUCGCAGAAUAAGCACCGGCUAACUCUGUGCCAGCAGCCGCGGUAAUACAGAGGGUGCGAGCGUUAAUCGGAUUUACUGGGCGUAAAGCGUGCGUAGGCGGCUUAUUAAGUCGGAUGUGAAAUCCCCGAGCUUAACUUGGGAAUUGCAUUCGAUACUGGUGAGCUAGAGUAUGGGAGAGGAUGGUAGAAUUCCAGGUGUAGCGGUGAAAUGCGUAGAGAUCUGGAGGAAUACCGAUGGCGAAGGCAGCCAUCUGGCCUAAUACUGACGCUGAGGUACGAAAGCAUGGGGAGCAAACAGGAUUAGAUACCCUGGUAGUCCAUGCCGUAAACGAUGUCUACUAGCCGUUGGGGCCUUUGAGGCUUUAGUGGCGCAGCUAACGCGAUAAGUAGACCGCCUGGGGAGUACGGUCGCAAGACUAAAACUCAAAUGAAUUGACGGGGGCCCGCACAAGCGGUGGAGCAUGUGGUUUAAUUCGAUGCAACGCGAAGAAACUUACCUGGCCUUGACAUACUAGAAACUUUCCAGAGAUGGAUUGGU